UUUUUUUGUUUUUGUUUUUAAGGUCUUUCCCCUUCGUGAGGAAAGACCUUAUUGUUUUUCUUCCGUUUUUUUUUUCUUUUUUUUCUUCCAACAUUUUUUUGACAUGGCCUCCCCUCGUUUCUAUUGGAGUUAUUAAGACCAAAUAUGGACCAUCGCUAGACCUCACCAAGAUGUAUUACCAAAUGACCCUGUUAAGGAUUUCAUCAUCCCCUUUAGGAGUUAUCUCCCUUUUAUUGAUUUUUUUCAAUAUGGCCACCCCUCGUUGGUUUUAAAGAUAUCAUGACCUUAAUUGGACAUAAUGUAGAUCUCAUCAUGAUGUAUUACCAUGUGAGGCUGAAUAGGAUUUCAUCGUCCCCUAUGAGAGUUAUAUCCCCUUGAAACAAUUUCUUUCCUUUGCAUUUUUCUCAAAAAGUAUAAGAGAUAGAAUCGAUUUGAAAACAGCAACAUGUACAGGAACAGAUGGCAAUGUUAAUGAACAUGUACAAUCAUUUUGUUAUUAACCCUUAUAAGGAGUUAUUCCCCUUGAAAAAUUGUACAUAAUUUUAGAAAAAUUGUAUUUCGAGAACCAGAAGUCGUAGAGACUUGGGACCUUCACCAAUAAUCUUUAAUUCAUGUGACCUUUAAUAUGCAGUCAAGGUCAAAGGUCAC
Molecule: long non-coding RNA, 648 nt
Filed under: Mytilus galloprovincialis (Mediterranean mussel)
Lineage: Eukaryota; Metazoa; Mollusca; Bivalvia; Mytilida; Mytilidae
Source: RNAcentral